This 866-nucleotide long non-coding RNA is filed under the name Salmo salar (Atlantic salmon). RNAcentral describes it as "lncRNA (ENSSSAG00000109712.1)". The record is from RNAcentral. Lineage: Eukaryota; Metazoa; Chordata; Actinopteri; Salmoniformes; Salmonidae.
GUCCCAAACAUGGCCGGUUGUGAUACAGCCUGGACUUGAACCAGGGUCUGUAGUGAAGCCACUAGCACUGAGAUGCAGUGUCUUAGACCGUUGCGCCACUCUGGAGAAACAGUAUGAAACGUAACACUCAUAAGCUAUUUAACAGUAUUAGUAAUGUGUAGAGACCAGAGACACAUUCAUCAGCUCUGUGGUGGUUAGUAACAGUGAUGUGUUGAGGCCAGAGACACAUUCAUCAGCUCUGUGGUGGUAGUAACAGUGAUGUGUAGAGACCAGAGACACAUUCAUGAGCUCUGUGGUGGUAGUAACAGUGAUGUGUAGAGACCAGAGACACAUUCAUCAGCUCUGUGGUGGUAGUAACAGUGAUGUGUAGAGACCAGAGACACAUUCAUCAGCUCUGUGGGGUUGGUAACAGUGAUGUGUUGAGGCCAGAGACAAAUUCAUCAGCUCUGUGGUGGUAGUAUUAGUAAUGUGUAGAGACCAGAGACACAUUCAUCAGCUCUGUGGUGGUAGUAACAGUGAUGUGUAGAGACCAUAGACACAUUCAUCAGCUCUGUGGUGGUAGUAUUAGUAAUGUGUAGAGGCCAGAGACACAUUCAUCAGCUCUGUGGUGGUAGUAACAGUGAUGUGUAGAGACCAGAGACACAUUCAUGAGCACUGUGGUGGUAGUAACAGUGAUGUGUAGAGACCAGAGACACAUUCAUCAGCUCUGAGGUGGUAGUAACAGUGAUGUGUAGAGACCAGAGACACAUUCAUCAGCUCUGUGGUGGUAGUGACAGUGAUGUGUAGAGACCAGAGACACAUUCAUCAGCUCUGAGGUGGUAGUGACAGUGAUGUGUAGAGACCAGAGACACAUUCAUCAGCUCUGU